RNAcentral lists this ribosomal RNA (384 nucleotides) under Clostridioides difficile. RNAcentral's name for it is "partial 23S ribosomal RNA". It matches the Rfam family "Bacterial large subunit ribosomal RNA", at positions 1 to 385 of the family's 2925-position model. The record is from RNAcentral. Lineage: Bacteria; Bacillati; Bacillota; Clostridia; Peptostreptococcales; Peptostreptococcaceae.
UGGUCAAGUUAUUAAGGGUGCAGGGCGGAUGCCUUGGCACUAGGAGCCGAUGAAGGACGUGAUAAGCUGCGAUAAGCUUCGGGGAGUUGCACGUAAACUUUGAUCCGAAGAUUUCCGAAUGAGGAAACUCACUUAGAGUAAUGUCUAAGUAUCAUUAAGUGAAUACAUAGCUUAAUGAGGGGAACUCAGGGAACUGAAACAUCUAAGUACCUGAAGGAAGAGAAAGAAAUUCGAUUCCGUAAGUAGCGGCGAGCGAACGCGGAUUAGCCCAAACCAAUAAAGUUUUCUUUAUUGGGGUUGCGGACAUAUCAUAACGAAGAGGUAUCGUAAUUGAAGAGGUUUGGAAAGACCCACCACAGAAGGUAAUAGUCCUGUAUGUUAAAC